GAGAGAGAGAGAGGGAGAGAGAGAGAGAGAGAGAAAAAAAACACAUGACAGUGUAAAACUGAAUCUGCUUAAAAAUAUCCCUUGACUGGACUGGAUAUAAACGUGGGAUUUAUG
This is a long non-coding RNA of Alosa sapidissima (American shad), 114 nucleotides long. RefSeq lists it as uncharacterized. The record is from RefSeq and is a predicted model, not a curated record. The transcript has 3 exons. Lineage: Eukaryota; Metazoa; Chordata; Actinopteri; Clupeiformes; Clupeidae.